Molecule: transfer-messenger RNA, 348 nt
Filed under: Eubacterium sp.
Lineage: Bacteria; Bacillati; Bacillota; Clostridia; Eubacteriales; Eubacteriaceae
Also listed under: 1 other name
Rfam family: transfer-messenger RNA
About the family: Bacterial tmRNA, also known as 10Sa RNA or SsrA, is named for its dual tRNA and mRNA-like properties. Its role is to liberate the mRNA from a stalled ribosome.
Source: RNAcentral
GGGCUAGUACUGGUUUCGACAGGGAUUUGGAAACUGGGGAAGCGAGUCGUAUGGAAUGCGUUAAAUGCCAAUUUUAAAUUUAAACGCUGAUAAAAAAUUAGCAUUUGCUGCGUAAUUAAUUCGUAGCGAUCUGACUUUAAUGCACCUACACUUUAAUUUCAGGUUUUAUGUUUUUGUAGGAAACGACAAAUGCUUUCGCUUCAAAGCAUUUGGGCGUAUCUAGAAGCUACCUAUUUCACUUGGGUGUCUAUCUCCGUUUGAGAUGGGGAAUGUUAAUGAUAGACUACACUCGUAGAAGCACAGCGGAAGAAUUUUUGGACGUGGGUUCAACUCCCACCUAGUCCACUA